RNAcentral lists this ribosomal RNA (429 nucleotides) under Actinomycetes bacterium. Its description in RNAcentral is "Actinobacteria bacterium partial 16S ribosomal RNA". It matches the Rfam family "Bacterial small subunit ribosomal RNA", at positions 355 to 776 of the family's 1533-position model. The record is from RNAcentral. Lineage: Bacteria; Bacillati; Actinomycetota; Actinomycetes.
UAGGGAAUCUUCCGCAAUGGGCGAAAGCCUGACGCAGCAACGCCGCGUGAGUGAUGAAGGUCUUCGGAUCGUAAAACUCUGUUAUUAGGGAAGAACAAAUGUGUAAGUAACUAUGCACGUCUUGACGGUAUCUAAUCAGAAAGCCACGGCUAACUACGUGCCAGCAGCCGCGGUAAUACGUAGGUGGCAAGCGUUAUCCGGAAUUAUUGGGCGUAAAGCGCGCGUAGGCGGUUUUUUAAGUCUGAUGUGAAAGCCCACGGCUCAACCGUAGAGGGUCAUUGGAAACUGGAAAACGUGAGUGCAGAAGAGGAAAGUGGAAUUCCAUGUGUAGCGGUGAAAUGCGCAGAGAUAUGGAGGAACACCAGUGGCGAAGGCGACUUUCUGGUCUGUAACUGACGCUGAUGUGCGAAAGCGUGGGGAUCAAACAGG